AUAAGCACUUGAAAUUAGAUUGAUGUGUUGUAAGAGAGCGCUGAUAUCCCAACUCUGAGAUGCAUUUGUAGAAAUUAUUGCGGGUUUUGCCGUUUUUGAGGCGCUAGGUAAAGUGUCUGUGCAAAUGUUAGCGGAUAUCGCACAGCCUAUGGGGUGUCCAAACUUUGGCCCUUAUGUUGCUUUUUUGACAUUGCGCUUAACCCUCUUAAUUGGAGGGGAAGGCGAAAUGUCAAAAAAGUAACUUAAAGGGCCAAAUUGUAUGUUAUUUUUGACAUCAAUUCGCGGACCGGAAGUGGGGGGCCGGAAGCGGCCCGCAAGCUUGGACACCCCUGAUUUAAACAAUGUUAUGACAGAAAUAUGAGCUUCUAGACUUACUAGUUACAUAAAAUGAUUAUUUUCAGCCACAGAUUCCAAAUGAAUAUUUGAAUUAGCUUCAGUGCAUCUAUAUUCAAUAUCUGAUUCACUGUCCUCAGCUUUAAACAAACGCAGAGUUCAUCUCUGUCUGUGUGUCUGUGCUGAAUUGGACUUUUCCCACUUCUCUUUGUUGUGUCUCUGUCUUAACACCAGUAUUUUUAUGGUUAGGUAAAUUUGGUAGCUGUACAUGUCAACAUUUUAUUUUUUUUAUUCAGGUGUGUGAACAGUGGUUUAGAGGGUGCACAUCAGGACUGUUAAAAAACAGCGAUAUUUCAGUGGCUGCUGCUUAUACCACAGGCUAACACACUCUACAGAUCUCUGAUGGGCUCCUUCAACAAAGAUGUUUAGUAGAUGCUGGUCUGCAGUUUGAUGCUCAGCAUCUCCAAAGUGGACGGUGAUAUGAUGGUGACCCGGGCUGCCACCUUUGGUCUUGUGAGGAAGCAAAGCUCAGGAAGAAGGAAUCCCUGCAGUCCUGUCCUUUUAGCUCCAAGCAUCACCCUUACAUAAGUCAUGAAUAUGGGUAAUUAGAGCUUUAAUCCAAGAGGAAGCAGAGCAGCAGACAGUUUGAGGGGUUUGGGCUCACAGAUGGUGACAACAUGGAGAGACUGUGGUGCUUCCCCUGAAGAACUGCAGGAGUCACAGAGGAGAUGACUCCAUCUCACUGUCUGGACUUGCUGACUGAUGUUCUUCUGCACUGCAGAUGCUGACUGUGACCUCAGAGGCCAUCUGGUCUGUAGAGUUAGAAGUGAAUCAAGGCAGAGGGCAGUCUGCCUGCAGCUUAAGAAAAAAACAUCCAGACUCAGAUGGGCAGGAUCUCAGCAUCAGACUGUCCAAACAGGCGCCAGCUUCAACAGCAGACUGAGACAGCCAACAAGAGAAAACAGCAGCUUCAGUGGGCUCCACAGGUCAAAGGUAACGUUUCAAGGGGUCUUCAGAGAGGAGGGACUGAUGUCCUGCAUCGAUCACAGCGAUUAUGAAGAUGACAGUGAGAGCAGCUACGACUGUAAAAGUCUGACCACGACUGUUUUGCUGCUUCCUGAUUAUUAAUGAAUAUUAUGAGCAUGUUUGUGUCUUUUGUCGUUAAUUCUUUUGUCGUCAUUUCAAUUCACCAAACUCAGUUUGUGUUAUUUAAUUUUUACAGGCCACACUCACUGCACAUAAGAAAACACUCAUUUUAAUCACUGAUGACUCAGUGACUUUAUAAAAGCUUUUAGUAGUCCAGCCUUUGACUGUUAACACUUACCAUAUUGUACCUGUACAGCAUGGUUUUGUGCAUGUAUGAGAUGUUUUUUAAUGUUGAAGUCAUUUCCUGAUUUAGUUUGUGAUCUUUGUUGGUUUUCUCUGCUUUGGAACUGAUUGUGAGUCAGUGUGUAACCUCACCUGUUUCCCUUUGUUCCACAUGACUUUUUUGAUUUCUGUUUAUUUAAAUUUCUGUUUCAUUUUGAUCUGUGUUGUGCUCUUAUGCUAUUGAUAAUACUAUCAGUCAAAUUCAUGUACAAUUUUUAUUGUUUUUACAUAUAAAACUGGAUUAGAGGUGGUGACCAUAAGCAUACCAAAAAAUGACAAUUUACAAUAGAACAUGAAUUACUGGUCUGUCAUCAUAAAUAAUGAGCCUAAUCCUCUCAUCAGUGUCACAUUGUUCUUCCAAGUCUUCACAACGUUAAGCUUUUUGUUUGUUUAUAUUUUCCCUUUUAUUUUAUAAUCAAAACUGCGACCAGAACGACUCUCCUUCUCAGACUAAUAAUACUGGCAGUCCAGGGCGUGACUGUAUGCUGAGCUAGGGUUAGGGUUAAUAAUUCAGACUCUAAAUGUCAUCAAUAUUACUCUUGCUGAAUCCAACAAAUAUGUUGGAAAUUGCAUAAUAAGUGGAUUAUUAUUUAAUAUCCAUAUUGAUUAUCAGUCUUCAUUUUCACCAUUGAUCCACCCAGGGUCUCGGUGGGGAUGGGCUCUAUCCUGGGAUCCUUGGGUGAAAGUUAUGUUGCACCCUCCAGGUCUGCAGCCCAUCAGUCAUAUCUAACAUUUGGUUCAAGAUUAUAAAUAAUUAAAAAAUCAAAGCAGGCUCCUUGCAUGGAAAUGAUGAGCUGGCAGUGAUCAUUCUUUGACUUUUCUCCACCUGCUUCAUCAAACCUCAGCAGUAAACAUAUAUGAAAGUAGCAGGCCCGUUAAGCUUCUGCGUCUGGAGAGGUAGUCACGAAACUGGGAAAUUGAUUCUCCCACCAGGUCCCUGUACAGCAUGUUAACCUACAGUAGAAACAGUAAAAGUGCUUGAAAAUGUUUCAUUUCUCAGAUAAAAAGCUACAUUUACAAGCGAAACCCAAGCAAGUGGGCAGCAGAAUAUUAAAGACGAUUUAAAAAAUCGUCAACUGUCUUACCAAGGUAAUAAUGCUUUAAUGGUUUGGUUAAUAUGAUCAAUAUGCAACUAUGACAUUGAGCAGCUGCCAUAACUGUUAAUACAAG
Molecule: long non-coding RNA, 2871 nt
Organism: Archocentrus centrarchus (flier cichlid)
Lineage: Eukaryota; Metazoa; Chordata; Actinopteri; Cichliformes; Cichlidae
Exons: 6
Source: RefSeq, a predicted model, not a curated record